Molecule: ribosomal RNA, 433 nt
Filed under: uncultured bacterium
Lineage: Bacteria
Description: partial 16S ribosomal RNA
Rfam family: Bacterial small subunit ribosomal RNA
Source: RNAcentral
AACGAACGCUGGCGGCAUGCCUAACACAUGCAAGUCGAACGAGACCUUCGGGUCUUGUGGCGCACGGCUGCGUAACGCGUGGGAACCUGCCCUUAGGUUCGGAAUAACUCCCCGAAAGGGGUGCUAAUACCGGAUAAUGUCUUCGGCCCAAAGAUUUAUCGCCUUUGGAUGGGCCCGCGUUGGAUUAGCUGGUUGGUAGGGUAAAAGCCUACCAAGGCGACGAUCCAUAGCUGGUCUGAGAGGAUGAUCAGCCACACUGGGGCUGAGACACGGCCCAGACUCCUACGGGAGGGAGGAGAGGGGAAUAGUGGACAAUGGGGGAAGGCCUGAUCCAGCAAUGCCGCGUAAGUGAUGAAGGCCUUAGGGUUGUAAAGCUCUUUUACCCGGGAUGAUAAUGACGGUACCGGGAGAAUAAGCUCCGGCUAACUCCGUG